AAUCUUCCGCAAUGGACGAAUGUAGGACGGAGCAACCCCGCGUGAGUGAUGAAGGUGUUCGGCUCGUAAAACUCUGUUGUUAGGGAAGAACAAGUAGCGUAGUCACUGCCGGUACCUUGAUGGUACCUGACGAGAAAGCCACGGCUAACUACUUGCCAGCAGCCGAGGUAAUACGUAGGUGGCAAGCGUUGUCCGGAUUUAUUGGGCGUAAAGCGCGGGAAGGCGGUCUUUUAAGUCUGAUGUGAAAUCUUACAGCUUAACUGUAAGCGGUCAUUGGAAACUGGGAGACUUGAGUGCAGAAGAGGAAAGCGGAAUUCCACGUGUAGCGGUGAAAUGCGUAGAGAUGUGGAGGAACACCAGUGGCAAAGGCGGCUUUCUGGUCUGUAACUGACGCUGAGGCGCAAAAGCGUGGGGAGCAAACA
RNAcentral lists this ribosomal RNA (422 nucleotides) under uncultured bacterium. RNAcentral describes it as "partial 16S ribosomal RNA". It matches the Rfam family "Bacterial small subunit ribosomal RNA", at positions 360 to 774 of the family's 1533-position model. The record is from RNAcentral.